Molecule: long non-coding RNA, 2208 nt
Filed under: Equus caballus (horse)
Lineage: Eukaryota; Metazoa; Chordata; Mammalia; Perissodactyla; Equidae
Description: lncRNA (ENSECAG00000048488.1)
Source: RNAcentral
AGCGAACUUAACCACUCGGCCACAGGGCCAGCCCCAACCCAGUGAUGACUUUUGCAUGGUAAAAUAAGGCUAGGUUCCAAGGAACUCGUCUCUUAGAAAACACCCAUGAGAACGAUAAACAUGGAAGUUUCUGGUUUCCCAGGCUCAGGGGAGAAAUUGAAGCUGAAGCUGAAGAGGAAGAAGCAGACAAAUGUCUGGAAACCCUCAUAUGCGAAGGGUCUAGAUGUGUUAUGGAGCCCAUUCUUCUGGCAUUUGGAAAGAUUUUACUAAUAAGUUCUUUUAUCCAUUUUACUAUCCAUCAUAAAGCUUUGUAAAAAGUCUGAAGAUACGAUAAAAUACUUUUCUUUUAGAUAGCCCCUUAAGACGCAAGACAUCAAUAUGACUCUGUGGAAGAUGGUGUAGAGCCACUUUAACCUGGCUUACAUCCGCCAUUGAAUUCAGGUUCUACACUAAGGAAAUGAUCCUUUCUCAACAUUUAAACCAGCUAUUAGUGAAGUGGGUCUGCAUUCUGUGUCAAAGCUUUCUAUAGUUUCAUCAUAAUUUGAGAAGCCAUUAAUCUACUGGCAUCUUCUCUAAAGCGAACACUCAGGAUGUCUGCUAAGGAAGUAAAACCCAUGCCAGACUUAAAACGUUCCUAAUCAAUGACAAAUUUAUAAGAAUUUCAGAAAUGCAGGAGUGGGCUUCAUUCCAAGGCUGCUCCCACCCUGGCAGAAAAAUAUAGUGCCUUAACUGUCUGCACUUAUUUAAAAUUUGUCACAUAAACAUACUUGAGUGUUAUUUCUAUUUAAAUUUAUAACAGCUUAAAAUGUAUUUUUAAAAAUAGAAUUCGGCUAACAUCAUACUUAAUGGUGAGAAACUAGAAGCUUUCCUGCUAAGAUCAGGAACAAAGCAAGAAUGUUCCCUCUCACCACUCCUUUUCAACAUUGGACUGGAAGUCCUAGCUAAUGAAAUAAGACAAGAAAAGGAAAUAAAACAUAUACAAAUUGAGAAGGAAGAAAUAAAACUGGCUUUGUUCACAGAUGACAUAAUUAUCCAGGCAGAAAAUCCAACAGAAUUGACAAAAAGACUCCCAGAACUAAGAACUGAUUAUGACAAGGUUGCAGGAUUCAACAUUAAUCUAGAAAAGUCAAUUGUUUUCCUAUAUACUAGCAAUAAGCUAGUAGAAUUUGAAAUUAAAAACACAAUGCCACUUACAAUAUUACCCCCCCAAAAUGAAAUACUUGAGUAUAAAUCUGAUGAAAUAUGUACAAGACCUAUAUGUAGAAAACUACAAAACUCUGAUGAAAGAAACCAAAGAAGAACUAACUAAAUGGAGAGAUAUUCCAUUUUCAUGGAUAGGAGGACUCAUUAUUGUCAAGAUGUUAGUCCUUCUUGACUCAAUCUAUGGGAUUCAACAUAAAUGUAAUCAAAAUUCCAGCAAGUUAUUUUACAGAUAUCAACAAAUUGAUUCAAAAGUUUACAUGCAUUGGAAAAAAAUCCACAAUAGCCAACACAAUACUGAAGGAGAACAACAAAGUCAAAAGAGCAACCCUACCCAACCUCAAGCUACAAUAUAUAAAAGCUACAAUAUAAAGCUUAUAUAAAGCUACAAUAAUCAAUAUAGUGAGGUAUUGGUGAAAGAAUAACAAAUAGAUUAAUGGAACAGAAUAUAGAGCCCAGAAAUAGACUCCCAUAAAUAUAGUGAACUGAUUUUUGACAACGGAGCAAAGGCUUUGACAAUGGAAUAAAGAUAAAUUCUUUUCAACAAACGAUGCUAGAACACAGAGCACAUCCACAUGCAAAAAAGGAAAUCUAGGCAUAAACUUUACACCCUUCACAAAAAUUACUUCAAAAUGGAUCAUAAACCUAAAUAUAAAAUGUGAAACUGUAAAAGUCAGAGAAGAUAACAUAGGAGAAAAAUCUAGGUGACUUCGAGUAUGGUGAUGACUUUUUAGACACACCAAAGGCAUGAUCCACUAAAGAAAUAAUUCAUAAACUGAUCUUCUUAAAAUUAAAAACUUCCUCUCUUCAUAGGACAUAUUCAAGAGAAUGAGAAGACAAACUACAAACUGAAAGAAAAUAUUUGCAAAAUGCAUAUCUGAUGAAGGACUAUUAUCCAAAAUACACAUAGAACGCUUAAAAUGCAACAAUAAGAAUAUGAACAAUCCCACUUUUAAAAAGGCCAAAGAUCUUAACAGACACCUCACUAAAGAAGACAUACAGGUGGCA